RNAcentral lists this ribosomal RNA (404 nucleotides) under Medetera grisescens. Its description in RNAcentral is "partial 12S ribosomal RNA". Lineage: Eukaryota; Metazoa; Arthropoda; Insecta; Diptera; Dolichopodidae. The record is from RNAcentral.
UAAACUAGGAUUAGAUACCCUAUUAUUUAAAAUGUAAAAUAUUGGUUAUAAGGUAGUAUUAGUUAUGGGCUUGAAACUUAAAAAAUUUGGCGGUAUUUUAGUCUAUUUAGAGGAACUUGUUAAUUAAUCGAUAAUCCACGUUGGACCUUACUUAUUUUUGUUUUUCAAUUUGUAUAUCGUCGUUAUUUAAAUAUUUUAUAAGAAUAAUAAUUUUUAAUAUUUUAAUAAAAAAAAAUGUCAGAUCAAGGUGCAGUUUAUAAAUAAGUUUAUAAUGAGUUACAAUAAGUUUAUUUAAAUGAAUUUAAUAUUGAAAUUAUAUUAAUGAAAGUGGAUUUAAUAGUAAAAAUUAAUAGAUAAUAGUUUUGAUUUUAGCUCUAAAAUAUGUACACAUCGCCCGUCGCUCU